UUGGCCUCCUGGACCAAACCAUCUGGAGGUGUUCACAAAUUAUUUAUUCUGCUCUCCCUUAACUUAGACCCCUUCCCCUGUUUCUGACGUUAUUUCCACAAUAUUAACCACAUUUCAUAAUUCCCACAUUUCCUAAAAUAUAUCUAAAACAUGCCCUUUAAUUAAUUCUCCUGCACCGCCAAAUUCCGACUCCCCCUGACCAGUUUGUGCUCUGGUCCCACCCCGGAACCUUUAUCUGGGUGUCCGUUCCUCGGGGAAUCUUUUAACCGGAACACCCUGGAGCGGACACAGAACAGCAACCCCAGGUGGAGCAGCGCCCCCACGCCAGCAACCCCCGGACCACUACACCUCAACCACACACUAUGGUUUGCCUAACUCCGGCUUAAUUCCUUUAUCAAUAAAUAACAACAACAAAUGUGCAAAUACGCAAUGUGCAAAUGUACUGUGCAAAGAUCGCUAAUAAAGUGCAAAGUGCCAUCAA
This is a long non-coding RNA of Notolabrus celidotus (New Zealand spotty), 481 nucleotides long. RefSeq lists it as uncharacterized. NCBI's taxonomy places the organism in Eukaryota, Metazoa, Chordata, Actinopteri, Labriformes, Labridae. The transcript has 2 exons. The record is from RefSeq and is a predicted model, not a curated record.